GACGAACGCUGGCGGCGUGCCUAAUACAUGCAAGUCGAACGAAGCUUUCUUUCACCGAAUGCUUGCAUUCACCGAAAGAAGCUUAGUGGCGAACGGGUGAGUAACACGUAGGCAACCUGCCCAAAAGAGGGGGAUAACACUUGGAAACAGGUGCUAAUACCGCAUAACCAUGGACAUCGCAUGAUGUUCAUGUAAAAGACGGCUUUUGCUGUCACUUUUGGAUGGACCUGCGGCGUAUUAACUUGUUGGUGGGGUAACGGCCUACCAAGGUGAUGAUACGUAGCCGAACUGAGAGACUGAUCGGCCACAUUGGGACUGAGACACGGCCCAGACUCCUACGGGAGGCAGCAGUAGGGAAUCUUCGGCAAUGGGGGGCAACCCUGACCGAGCAACGCCGCGUGAGUGAAGAAGGUUUUCGGAUCGUAAAGCUCUGUUGUAAGAGAAGAACGGAUGUGGGAGUGGAAAAUCCAUGUCGUGACGGUAUCUUACCAGAAAAGGGACGG
RNAcentral lists this ribosomal RNA (503 nucleotides) under uncultured bacterium. Its description in RNAcentral is "bacterial SSU rRNA". It matches the Rfam family "Bacterial small subunit ribosomal RNA", at positions 28 to 496 of the family's 1533-position model. The record is from RNAcentral.